This 397-nucleotide long non-coding RNA is filed under the name Numida meleagris (helmeted guineafowl). Its description in RNAcentral is "lncRNA (ENSNMEG00000019771.1)". The record is from RNAcentral. Lineage: Eukaryota; Metazoa; Chordata; Aves; Galliformes; Numididae.
CUGAAACAAAAUGGGAGAGUGUACCUAACUCAUGCAGGUUCUGUAAGGAUAAUCGAAAGUGUCACAGGAGGAGAGAUAUCCAGCUGCAGUUACAUGAUGGGCUAGCGAAGAUCAAGGAAAUGUUGAUGCUCCAUCAAUACUAACAAGAUGCAGCUGUUGGAGGGGCCUUUUCAGGUGCUUGGCAAGGCAUCAUCUACUGUGCAGUGAGGAAGAAAUGGCUGUGAUAAGAAGAUGGUGUGAGCCUUCGUGCCAUUCCUGGGGAGGUGAACAGAAGGCACGCAAUCGUAUCCUCAGUACGAGUGCUGUGACAUUAGGAGAUAAACGAGUAAUACUUGUUCCGUUCAAUGUUGAAACUCAAAGAACCAGAACAGUGACAGCUAUAUGACUGACAUGGGAG